RNAcentral lists this ribosomal RNA (492 nucleotides) under uncultured bacterium. RNAcentral describes it as "partial 16S ribosomal RNA". It matches the Rfam family "Bacterial small subunit ribosomal RNA", at positions 29 to 507 of the family's 1533-position model. The record is from RNAcentral.
AGUGAACGCUGGCGGUAGGCCUAACACAUGCAAGUCGAACGGCAGCACAGUAAGAGCUUGCUCUUACGGGUGGCGAGUGGCGGACGGGUGAGGAAUACAUCGGAAUCUACUUUUUCGUGGGGGAUAACGUAGGGAAACUUACGCUAAUACCGCAUACGACCUACGGGUGAAAGCAGGGGAUCUUCGGACCUUGCGCGAUUGAAUGAGCCGAUGUCGGAUUAGCUAGUUGGCGGGGUAAGGGCCCACCAAGGCGACGAUCCGUAGCUGGUCUGAGAGGAUGAUCAGCCACACUGGAACUGAGACACGGUCCAGACUCCUACGGGAGGCAGCAGUGGGGAAUAUUGGGCAAUGGGCGCAAGCCUGACGCAGCCAUGCCGCGUGAGUGAAGAAGGCCUUCGGGUUGUAAAGCCCUUUUGUUGGGAAAGAAAAGCAGCAGGUUAAUACCCCGCUGUUCUGACGGUACCCAAAGAAUAAGCACCGGCUAACUUCGUG